CGGAGCAGCGCGUAACUAGGGAGAGGAUAGGCCGGGCUGGUGGAGAUGCGGGGAGAGACCAGCCAAAGCUAAAGAGCCAAAGCAAAGGCAACUACAUUGUCGGCACUGCCCUAGGCUCCAGGGCCACAGAGACAACCAUAGCUUCAGCCUCCUGCUCCGAAUGACAUCUCUCAGAAAUCUUCCCUGACUGUCCAGGCGGAAUUAAUGGUUCACUUCCCUGUUCCUCUAUACCUUGAGCAUCCCUCUACAAUUGAAUGCUCCUUCAUUCCAUUUCAUUGCACCAGCAUGUAUCGAGGGUCUACUGUUAUCUAUCGCUGAAGAGAAUGAUUGCAAAAAACUUGAAUGAACAUGGAAAAUGCUGAUGAUCAGAUUUCCAUUGAAAAGAAAGGUGUGCUCCUUGGGGUGGGGGUGUUGUUGUAAUUGUCAGAAAAUGUUUAAUAAAAGAAACAGAAAUAACAAUAAUCUUGUUAGCAUAAUUGUGAGUGAACUUUUGCUCUUUUUUAAUUCUCAAAAAUACCCUAAACAUCAUGUUUCACGGUCUUUACAAAAACACCACCACAGAAACAACAGAAGCCUCCGGGCCUGAGGUGUCAUACUGGGUAUGGCCACAUGGUGUCCCUCCAGCUCAGUCUAAACCUUCCAGACUACAGUCUUCCAACAGUCUCCGCUUCGCCCAGCAGCCGGGGCUAGUCCGAGCCGAGCGAACCCUAAGCUACGGGAACCAGCUUCUUGGUGCUGUCCCAAGAGUGGAGAGGAGACAGAUGAACGUUUCUCAGGCUAGAGGAAGGCGGUUUAUUUGCUUCCAAGGGUUCCAGUAGACAGUUCUGACACGAAAUUUCGUUGUGGAGGGAACUUUUAAGACUGUGUGAAGGGAGGGAAUGGGAAGGGUUUAGAUUUGCAUAGUAGGUGGGCAGCUUUGUGGCGGUUGGGAGGAGGUUUGGAUGACUUGAGAGAGACCAGGAAAAAAGCUGGAGUCCGGACUGAGGAACGGAAGGAUACGGAGUUUUUUUGUAGGCGAGGAUAUGAACAAGGAAGUACAUCACCCUCAGUGCUGUUGGCAGCCUUCCUGUGACCAUGAGGAGAGUCAGCUUCAAGAUGAUCCUUUGGAUAAAAGAGCAAAGAAUCAGAAAGAUCCUGGUUCCUUGAUGACUUCAACAAGCCAUUAGGUCAAUCAACAUCCUGAAAUUUGCUCUAUUUCUGGAUUCUAGUUAGGUGAGUCCAUACAUCCUCAUGUUUCAAACACAUUUAUUUUGUCCUCUUAUUGUGGUGGUUUUAAAAUAUGAAUACACAUUUUUUUCAUGUUCCUCCUUUAAAAAAGUGGAGCCUAAUUUUCCCCUACACUUAAGUGUGGGCUUGUCUUAGUGAUUUUUUUGUAAAGCAUAGAGAAUAUGGCAGAAGUGACAGUGAGUGACUUCUGGGAUUAGGACACAAAGGCAUUGUGUCUUCCUCCUUGCUUUCUCUAUUGUAUCACUGACUCUGGAGGAAGUCAGCUGCUGUGUCAUGAGGGCACUCAAACAGCCCUAUGAAGAGGUCCAUGUGGUAAGGAACUGAGGACUUCUGCCAACAGCCAGCAAUAACUUGCCAGGUAUGUGAAUGUGCCAUCUUGGAAGCAAGUUCUCCAACUCCAGACAAGCUCUCUAAUAACUGUGGCCCCAGCUGACAUCUUGGCUGCAACCCCACGAGGGAAUCUGAGCCAGCACCACCAAGCUAAGCCACUCCUAAAUUCCUGACUUGCAGAAAAUGUGUGAAAAUAAAUGUCUAUUGUUUUAAGCCA
This 1774-nucleotide long non-coding RNA is filed under the name Homo sapiens (human). RNAcentral describes it as "HSALNT0361394". The record is from RNAcentral. Lineage: Eukaryota; Metazoa; Chordata; Mammalia; Primates; Hominidae.